RNAcentral lists this non-coding RNA (21 nucleotides) under Caenorhabditis elegans. Lineage: Eukaryota; Metazoa; Nematoda; Chromadorea; Rhabditida; Rhabditidae. The record is from RNAcentral.
UUCGUCAGAACAAUUAUUAUU